Molecule: ribosomal RNA, 253 nt
Filed under: uncultured bacterium
Lineage: Bacteria
Description: partial 16S ribosomal RNA
Rfam family: Bacterial small subunit ribosomal RNA
Source: RNAcentral
UACGUAGGGGGCAAGCGUUGUCCGGAUUCAUUGGGCGUAAAGAGCGUGUAGGCGGUCCGGUAAGUCCGCUGUGAAAGUCGGGGGCUCAACCCUCGAAUGCCGGUGGAUACUGUCGGGCUAGAGUGCGGAAGAGGCGAGUGGAAUUCCUGGUGUAGCGGUGAAAUGCGCAGAUAUCAGGAGGAACACCUAUUGCGAAGGCAGCUCGCUGGGACGUUACUGACGCUGAGACGCGAAAGCGUGGGGAGCAAACAGG